RNAcentral lists this ribosomal RNA (253 nucleotides) under uncultured bacterium. RNAcentral describes it as "partial 16S ribosomal RNA". It matches the Rfam family "Bacterial small subunit ribosomal RNA", at positions 524 to 776 of the family's 1533-position model. The record is from RNAcentral.
UACGGGGGGGGCAAGCGUUGUUCGGAAUUACUGGGCGUAAAGGGCUCGUAGGCGGCCAACUAAGUCAGACGUGAAAUCCCUCAGCUUAACUGGGGAACUGCGUCUGAUACUGGAUGGCUUGAGUUCGGGAGAGGGAUGCGGAAUUCCAGGUGUAGCGGUGAAAUGCGUAGAUAUCUGGAGGAACACCGGUGGCGAAGGCGGCAUCCUGGACCGACACUGACGCUGAGGAGCGAAAGCCAGGGGAGCAAACAGG